RNAcentral lists this ribosomal RNA (252 nucleotides) under uncultured Bacteroidales bacterium. RNAcentral describes it as "partial 16S ribosomal RNA". It matches the Rfam family "Bacterial small subunit ribosomal RNA", at positions 524 to 776 of the family's 1533-position model. Lineage: Bacteria; Pseudomonadati; Bacteroidota; Bacteroidia; Bacteroidales. The record is from RNAcentral.
UACGGAGGAUGCGAGCGUUAUCCGGAUUUAUUGGGUUUAAAGGGUGCGCAGGCGGAGGUGCAAGUCAGUGGUCAAAUUGCGGGGCUCAACCCCGUACUGCCGUUGAAACUGGCUGGCUUGAGUUGGGGAAAGGCAGGCGGAAUGCGCGGUGUAGCGGUGAAAUGCAUAGAUAUCGCGCAGAACCCCGAUUGCGAAGGCAGCCUGCCGGCCCCACACUGACGCUGAGGCACGAAAGCGUGGGUAUCGAACAGG